AUACGGAGGGUGCAAGCGUUAUUCGGAAUCACUGGGCGUAAAGGACGCGUAGGCGGGUUGGCAAGUCAGAUGUGAAAUCCUACAGCUUAACUGUAGAACUGCAUUUGAAACUGCUAACCUAGAGUAUGGGAGGGGGAGAUAGAAUUAGUGGUGUAGGGGUAAAAUCCGUAGAUAUCACUAGGAAUACCGAAAGCGAAGGCGAUCUCCUGGAACAUAACUGACGCUAAGGCGUGAAAGCGUGGGGAGCAAACAGGAUUAGAAACCCUAGUAGUCC
This 274-nucleotide ribosomal RNA is filed under the name uncultured bacterium. RNAcentral describes it as "partial 16S ribosomal RNA". It matches the Rfam family "Bacterial small subunit ribosomal RNA", at positions 523 to 796 of the family's 1533-position model. The record is from RNAcentral.